RNAcentral lists this ribosomal RNA (388 nucleotides) under uncultured bacterium. RNAcentral describes it as "bacterial SSU rRNA". It matches the Rfam family "Bacterial small subunit ribosomal RNA", at positions 28 to 418 of the family's 1533-position model. The record is from RNAcentral.
GACGAACGCUGGCGGCGUGCUUAACACAUGCAAGUCGAGCGGUAAGGCCCUUUCGGGGGUACACGAGCGGCGAACGGGUGAGUAACACGUGGGUGACCUGCCCUCAGCUCUGGGAUAAGCCUGGGAAACCGGGUCUAAUACCGGAUAUGACUCCAUGGCGCAUGUUGUGGGGUGGAAAGCCUUGUGCGGCUGAGGAUGGGCCCGCGGCCUAUCAGCUUGUUGGUGGGGUGAUGGCCACCAAGGCGACGACGGGUAGCCGGCCUGAGAGGGCGACCGGCCACACUGGGACUGAGACACGGCCCAGACUCCUACGGGAGGCAGCAGUGGGGAAUCUUGCGCAAUGGGCGAAAGCCUGACGCAGCGACGCCGCGUGAGGGAUGACGGCCUC